GAACAGCCUACACCUCUCUAAUUAUAUUUUUCUUUCUCUCUUUCGUGUGGAGUGGAGAGCUGAAGCGGAGGAGCCGCGUAGAGGUAGCCGCGAAGCUCGGAUUCGCCGUCGACGUCGCGCCGUGGAGCCGUUCGAGCCUACGUUUGUCGCCGUAGCAUCACAAGGAGGCCGGGCGAGGGUGUGUUAUCGCCGUCCUCGACGUCGCACAGAUAUUAGGGUCGCUGUCGAGGUGGGUGUGCCGUCAAAUUGCUUCUUUAUUUCCAAGCUUCUUCAAAUUCGAGCUAGGUGCUGUCCCUGCAGAUUUUCAGCGUCAACCGUUGGCGUUUCGGCUCAUACUUGGUGUAGGAGCGUCGGAUUUCGACGGGAUUUGGUUCGUUGGAUUCAGGACUUCGAGAGGAAUCCACGAAGCCCUUAUUUUCUGGAUUUGGUGAAGGUUAGCUGGGUCGAAAUUAUGUUCUCCUCUGCUGCUGUGUUUCGGACAGAAUUUGAGUUGGAGUUCUUCGUUGCGAUGUGUGCAAGGCGAUUUCGAACUUGAGCUGGACACCCUUUCCAGUGGAUUUGGAGAUUUUUGGUGACCUCCUCCCUGCCGGGGUUUAGCGAUCGAGGUGGGUUUACAUUGGUUUAUUCCUAAGUACCGUAAUUGUCGACAUGUAUGAUUUUUAGUUUCGGUAAUCAUGUUGUAGUUUGAUAUUCAUGAUGCUAUCCUGGAUAUAAUCAGUAUUGAGAACAUGACUAGUAAGUCUUAAAUGUACAUGUUGGACUGGAUUUGACUUAGGAGAAAACACGAUUGGAAUCGUCAUAUGCUUAAACUGCCUGAUUUAGCUCUAGGAGCCGUUAUUAAAUUGUACUGUCGCAGUAUCUUCGAGACGAGUACUCCAGGUAGUUUAGAAUAUAUCUACACUCGUGCUGGUUCGCCGAGGGAAUUUUAUAGGGUCGUUCAGGCUGUUUCGGACUGUAGGGUGCCGUUGAGGUUGACGGUGGACCCGUAUCGCCUUUUUGGCGUCUGAUUGUGCCGAGGGCACGUUGUUGGUUGUUAGACCAGUUAGAGUCGAUUUUUUGACUUUGGCUUUUCAGAGCCUGUUUGAGGUCGACAGAGAUACGCUGCAUACUCGGUUGGGUAGCACCCACGAGUGCCACUCCGGAGUCAGGCUUUAUGCUUUCGCGUUGGUGUCGCUCAUGCCAGUUGGACUUGCUCUCCACGGACCAGUUAGUGUGGGUAGAGCCUGAUAGUCGCAACGGGGCAGGGACGGGUGUAUUCACAGUCCCGGGGACAGGUAUGCUUACAGUUCCGAUUGGAUUUGGUCAGUUUUGACAUUUCCUACAAUUGGUUAGCGUAGAGCAUGAUAGUGUAGUGAUUGAUAGCGGUAGAGUGUACUUCCUACUUUUCCUACUAUCCUUGCUCCCUUCUGUAGACUUAGUGGGUGACCGAUGUUGUUUUGGGCGGUACCCACUGAGGACUACUUGUUUUGUAGUAGUUCUCAUGCCCAGUUGUUACUCUUGUUUUGCAGAGCCACAGGUUUCGGCUGCUGCGCCUUCCGCCGAUCAGGAUCGAGGCAAGGGCGUCGCGAGUUAGAGCCCUACCCAACGAGCAGAGCUAGAGGCACCCCUACUGCAGGUAGAUGUUUUGUUUCGAGUUUAUGUAUAUAGUAGACUUAACUCGCCAGUGCGAGUAACUCUGUAUUUUGGAUUUGGACUAUGUAUAUGAAACUCAGUUUGUUUAACUUCUGUUUUCUCUAGCAGCUCUCUACUACUGUUCGUAGUAGUGUUUGACUUACAGGUACAGCUGUCGCUUCGUAUACAGAAAAAAUUUCUUUGUAUACGGCGGAUUUGUCGACGUGCCCGGGGAACGAGACAUCCGGGGCGUGACAAUGCAUUG
This 1876-nucleotide long non-coding RNA is filed under the name Ananas comosus (pineapple). RNAcentral's name for it is "long non-coding RNA (ACOM_LNC021371)". Lineage: Eukaryota; Viridiplantae; Streptophyta; Magnoliopsida; Poales; Bromeliaceae. The record is from RNAcentral.